CCUACGGGAGACUGCAGUGAGGAAUAUUGGUCAAUGGGCGAGAGCCUGAACCAGCCAAGUCGCGUGAAGGAUGACGGCCCUACGGGUUGUAAACUUCUUUUGUCAGGGCGCAACUGGGUCCACGCGUGGGCUUAGCGAGAGCACCUGAAGAAAAAGCAUCGGCAAACUCCGUGCCAGCAGCCGCGGUAAUACGGGGGAUGCGAGCGUUAUCCGGAUUUAUUGGGUUAAAAGGGUGCGUAGGCGGAAUAUCAAGUCAGCGGUAAAAAUUCGGGGCUAAACCCCGUCGUGCCGUUGAAACUGAUGUUCUUGAGUGGGCGAGAGGUAGGCGGAAUGCGGGGUGUAGCGGUGAAAUGCAUAGAUAUAACGAAGAACUCCGGUGGCGAAGGCAGCAUGCCGGCGACCAACUGACGCUGAGGCACGAAAGCGUGGGUAGCGAACAGGAUUAGAUACCCGUGUAGUC
Molecule: ribosomal RNA, 460 nt
Filed under: uncultured bacterium
Lineage: Bacteria
Description: partial 16S ribosomal RNA
Rfam family: Bacterial small subunit ribosomal RNA
Source: RNAcentral